This 602-nucleotide ribosomal RNA is filed under the name Rhaphoneis sp. s0366. Its description in RNAcentral is "eukaryotic LSU rRNA". It matches the Rfam family "Eukaryotic large subunit ribosomal RNA", at positions 25 to 671 of the family's 3401-position model. Lineage: Eukaryota; Bacillariophyta; Plagiogrammaphyceae; Rhaphoneidales; Rhaphoneidaceae. The record is from RNAcentral.
CCGCUGAAAUUAAGCAUAUAAUUAAGCGGAGGAAAAGAAACUAACAAGGAUUCCCCUAGUAAGGGCGACUGAAGCGGGAAGAGCUCACACUGUGAAUCUGUGCAAAAUUGUUUUUGCACCGAGUUGUGGUCUGUAGAGGCAAUCGAUGCAGUGAUGUUUUCCUGCACGGCACACCGGGUGAAGUCCUUUGGAAAAGGGCAGCAGAGAGGGUGAGACUCCCGUACUUGCCUGGACGCCGCAGAUUGUUUUCGACGAGUCGAGUUGUUUGGGAUUGCAGCUCAAAGUGGGUGGUAAAUUCCAUCUAAAGCUAAAUACUGGUGGGAGACCGAUAGCGUACAAGUACCGUGAGGGAAAGAUGCAAAGAACUUUGAAAAGAGAGUUAAAGAGUACCUGAAAUUGCUGAAAGGGAAGCGAAGGAAACUAGUGUUUGCCUUGCCAUAUUUCCUCAGUCCGCAGGGUUGGGGCGCUGUGGCGGGCAUGCGUCAGCGUUGGUUGGCUUCGGCAGAUACGUCCAAAGGGAGUUGACCUUUGCAGCUGGUGCUGGAGAAGACCGAUGUUGACGAAAUGGUUUUCUUUACCCCGUCUUGAAACCGGGACCAAGG